GCCUCGCUGGUGUAAUGGUAGCACGAGCCCCCGGUACGAGUAACGCGGGUUCAACUCCCGCCCGAGGUU
Parelaphostrongylus tenuis is the source of this 69-nucleotide non-coding RNA. The record is from the annotation of a GenBank genome assembly. Lineage: Eukaryota; Metazoa; Nematoda; Chromadorea; Rhabditida; Metastrongylidae.